RNAcentral lists this ribosomal RNA (439 nucleotides) under uncultured bacterium. RNAcentral's name for it is "bacterial SSU rRNA". It matches the Rfam family "Bacterial small subunit ribosomal RNA", at positions 338 to 795 of the family's 1533-position model. The record is from RNAcentral.
CCUACGGGGGGCUGCAGUAAGGAAUCUUCCGCAAUGCACGAAAGUGUGACGGAGCGACGCCGAGUGAAGGAUGAAGUUCUUCGGAAUGUAAACUUCUAAAAUCUGUUAGAAAGUUCUGAUCAGCAGACUAUAAGUGGCGACUAACUCUGUGCCAGCAGUCGCGGUAAUACAGAGGCCACGAGCGUUAGGCGGAAUCACUGGGCUUAAAGCGUGUGUAGGUGGAUCGGUAAGUACCUUGUAAAAUCCCACAGCUCAACUGUGGAACUGCUCGGUAUACUGCCAGUCUUGAGGCACUCAGGGGCGAGCGGAACAAGUGGUGGAGCGGUGAAAUGCGUAGAUAUCACUUGGAACGCCAAUGGUGAAGACAGCUCGCUGGGGGUGAACUGACACUGAGACACGAAAGCCAGGGGAGCGAACGGGCUUAGAUACCCCGGUAGUC